CAUCGGGACAAGAAGCUGCAUUUCAUCGUCAUGCCUUUAGGCCCGGGCGGCCCCUGAUUGGGGUUUGAAUUUCACAUCAGGGUUGACCUUGAGGGACUGUUCCACCCCGAUAUAUCCUCAUCUGGUCGACCCAUUCAAAGAGAGCUUGCCAGGAAGCUAACGAGGCUAUAUUGUUGCCAUCUUCAUGACCGUCUGCACCCAAAAAUGUGCAACCAAGAUGGGGUUUCUCUAGUGGAUAUGGCUAUACGAAAAUCUCUUCAUGGGCUUGAUGGCACGAGGAAGAAAUAUCAAAGUUGGAAGCAAUUGGGAAAACGGAUGCGCCUAUUGGUUCAAGAUUUUGGUGGAAAAGUAUAAUGACAAUCACAAUAUUUUGGGGUGCAUAGAUUAAAGGUGCCGGUGAUUUUGACUCUGGCGUGGACAAUCUAUUCUAUUAGAGCAACUGGACAAUCUAUUCUUUGUUGGACUCACACUUACGCAUCGAUGUUGAUAAAGGUCACUGGUAUGGUUGCACAAAAAAUGGAGGUGCUGAGCAGGAGCACCCUGACAAUGCUAAUGCCUACGCCGGCGGUCACUUGAACGUAUAUCUCCCAGACUGCCACAUAGAACAUGUAGACUGGAGUGACUCUGAUGACAAUGUGGUUGCUGAGGAGGCUAGGCUAAGGCUCCGUCGGGUUAGCCCCACCUGGCCGGAAAC
Long non-coding RNA from Lolium rigidum, 694 nucleotides. RefSeq lists it as uncharacterized. Lineage: Eukaryota; Viridiplantae; Streptophyta; Magnoliopsida; Poales; Poaceae. The record is from RefSeq and is a predicted model, not a curated record. The transcript is spliced from 5 exons.